This 254-nucleotide ribosomal RNA is filed under the name uncultured bacterium. RNAcentral's name for it is "partial 16S ribosomal RNA". It matches the Rfam family "Bacterial small subunit ribosomal RNA", at positions 524 to 776 of the family's 1533-position model. The record is from RNAcentral.
UACGAAGGGGGCUAGCGUUGUUCGGAAUUACUGGGCGUAAAGCGCGCGCAGGCGGUCUUCCAAGUCAGUGGUGAAAGCCCGGAGCUCAACUCCGGAACUGCCAUUGAAACUGUUGGACUUGAGUAUGAGAGAGGUGAGUGGAAUUCCCAGUGUAGAGGUGAAAUUCGUAGAUAUUGGGAAGAACACCGGUGGCGAAGGCGGCUCACUGGCUCAUUACUGACGCUCAGGCGCGACAGCGUGGGGAGUCAAACAGG